Oreochromis niloticus (Nile tilapia) is the source of this 443-nucleotide long non-coding RNA. RefSeq lists it as uncharacterized. The record is from RefSeq and is a predicted model, not a curated record. The transcript is spliced from 2 exons. Lineage: Eukaryota; Metazoa; Chordata; Actinopteri; Cichliformes; Cichlidae.
UUACAAAUUUUUAUUUUAUUUUAAACAUUUUCCUUUUCAUUCUUAACUUGCUUAGUGUUUAUAUUUGCUUCUCCAUGUAUUUCCUUAUUGCUUUAUUCCCAAAGUGUGGGCCAACGACACCUGGUGGACUGCAAAGCUACUGCAGCCCACACCCUGCACCUGUGUGACAGCAGUGUCCAUAGCAACAUCUCCUUAGCAACCACAUUCCUUUCUUAUCUGCUCAUUCCGUAGGUGGGACUACAAGACAUAAAACACAGUGACAGAUGUAUGACAGUUUCUUUGUUUUUUAUGUAACUACCUUCACUGCUAACAUGUGGAGAGGCGUCUUUCCACCAUGUCUGUCCAUAAAUGAAGAUGAAGUCUGUGAAAUAAAUAAAUGUACAAGGUCACAAUUCCAGAGUACAGUGAACACAUUAAAUAAACACGGUCAGCAGUUAAAAGUA